GAUGAACGCUGGCGGCGUGCCUAAUACACGCAAGUCGAGCGAACAGACGAGGAGCUUGCUCCUCUGACGUUAGCGGCGGACGGGUGAGUAACACGUGGAUAACCUACCUAUAAGACUGGGAUAACUUCGGGAAACCGGAGCUAAUACCGGAUAAUAUAUUAAACCGCAUGGUUCAAUAGUGAAAGACGGUUUUGCUGUCACUUAUAGAUGGAUCCGCGCCGCAUUAGCUAGUUGGUAAGGUAACGGCUUACCAAGGCAACGAUGCGUAGCCGACCUGAGAGGGUGAUCGGCCACACUGGAACUGAGACACGGUCCAGACUCCUACGGGAGGCAGCAGUAGGGAAUCUUCCGCAAUGGGCGAAAGCCUGACGGAGCAACGCCGCGUGAGUGAUGAAGGUCUUCGGAUCGUAAAACUCUGUUAUUAGGGAAGAACAAAUGUGUAAGUAACUAUGCACGUCUUGACGGUACCUAAUCAGAAAGCCACGGCUAACUACGUG
RNAcentral lists this ribosomal RNA (497 nucleotides) under uncultured bacterium. RNAcentral describes it as "partial 16S ribosomal RNA". It matches the Rfam family "Bacterial small subunit ribosomal RNA", at positions 28 to 507 of the family's 1533-position model. The record is from RNAcentral.